This is a long non-coding RNA of Anas platyrhynchos (mallard), 3129 nucleotides long. RefSeq lists it as uncharacterized. The record is from RefSeq and is a predicted model, not a curated record. Lineage: Eukaryota; Metazoa; Chordata; Aves; Anseriformes; Anatidae.
GCACUCAUAACCCGACCAGUUUCUCAGGCUGCGUCCAGGCAAUGACUAUCAGUUAUUGUCCAGGUGGCUGAGGAGUUCUGCAUGAUGAAAUACCUUUAUCCCAGUUUUGGUCUACCAUUACAGGAACACUGCAGCAUCCCAGCAAGCUUCUCAGAAACCUGAGCUAAAAUCCCAUGUCAAGGGGAAUACAGAAAAAGCCUAGCAAUUGUGAAACCUAAUUACAAAGUAAUGUGGAGCCUGAAAGCAGAACUGCUAAGCAGUUAGAGACUUGCCUAACAAUUAGGCCAUCUGUCAUCCGCAAGUGGGCUAACAAAAGGCUGCACGGGACACUUGUGGCACUGUACGGAGGAGGAUAUGCAAACGAGGAAGCGUCCAAAUACAGUUUUAAGAUACACGGUAUGAAAUGAGCUGCUAAUUGGGGCUCACAUGCAUGCUUAACAUAUGGACAACAUAAUUAUAGUUGUACAGUUAAGGGAAGUUUACUCUACAGGAAGAGAAUGGAACGGCGCAGGGUGCGAUGCGCUCCUUUGAAAUCAAUGGAAUGACAGAGCUAUCGAUCUGAAAUAUGUUAUUUCCACUUGCCCACCACGAAUCAAAAAAAAUGCUUAAACAUCAGUUCAUCCCGUCAAUUCCAGUAUUAGAAUUGUUCCCAAUGGGCACAGCAGACAAUGAAAGCCAAACAAGAGGAAGGAUUUGAUCCAGUUCCCCAUUAAAUUCAGAAGAAAGACUAAUAACUUCAGCGAUAAUCGGAGUUGGACUGGAACCUACAUGAAUGGCAUACCACGGAUCAUUUUAUUCCUGCCAAAGAUUGUUCAGACUGCAGCAAUUUCCAGCGGGAGCUAGAAUCUACGUCCCCCAAACAGUUCCACUCCAGCAAACAGUACGUGCAUUAAUUCCAGUAUUAUUUGGUUUUCCCCUGACUAAAAAAUGCACGGCAGGGUAGGACAAAAAGAGCAAAUGGGGUAUGUGCAAGCACCAGCCCAGCUGCUGCUGGACCACUGUUUGCCAGUUGCUUAGCAACACUUCACCUCUCUGCUGGAAAAAAAAAAAAAAAAAAAGUGUUCUGAUGAACAAAAAUAAACCAGAAGAUUUGUUUAUUGUGAAAUAAUGACUGUGAUAGUGCUCUAUUCACUUCUUCUAGUCAUGUACUAUAUCACCUACCAAAUGCUGGGAGCUCUCUGGGAUAAAGGUUGCAACUUUCAAUGCCUAGCUGUGGGAUAUCUCUAUGGGAUCUCUCUUACUGGAGGUACUUAAAUAAAAAAUGGCAAUAACAGAGCAGUGGUGUUUGCAUACUUAUUAAUCGGGAGGAAAACUGGAAUAGGAAUUCGAGGAUUUAAUUUUUGGGCAACCUCUUUUAGCUGCUCCCGCUUAAGCAAGGGUUGGUACAAGAUGAUCUCCUGAGGGCCCUUCCAAGCGCAACCACUGCAUGGUUCUGUAAUUUGGAGAGUAAAGAAAAGAACAGGGAGAAUAAAGAAGAAAAUAAAAACAGGUACCCCGGGAGUGAGCCAGUGAAGGAAAGAUGCCAACGCACAUUCAUGCCUCACUCACCAGUUAUCCAUUUAGCCUCUGGGUCAUGUAUUUUGAAAUCAGCACUAAAUAGAUCUUCCACUGUUAUCUUCUUCUUCUGAGACAAGCUGUUAUCUUCAACUGUGAAGCAUACAAAAACAAAUUGCCAUUACUUCUACUUUGAACUGUACCUGAAACUACAGCAACUCUGAGUAGUGCCAUAUCAUAUUUCAUUCCGGAAUGGUCCACAUUAAGUCAUCUGUCACUCAUAAGCUCCUUCACAUUGUCAAUAGUAGAAAAGGACAAUCUAAUAGUUCACAAAGAGAAACCUCCUGGUUAUUUAUGCCUAGAUUCAAAAACUACAAAAGGACCAAUGAUCCAAAACACACCUUUUUGACAGAAACUGAUGAAAAAAGAUAUAAAAAGGCAUGCAAACAGGCAGAUAUCAGAGCACUAUAGAAUUCUGACUACUCUCAGGAAUAUUAAAACUUUUCAACAUUCACUAUUCCAAAACCAUUUUUUUUUUUUUUUAGUAAAAUAAAAUUAAAUGUAAAUUGACCUACUUAGAACUGAUAUUUUUGUUUCCUUAAAAACUGUCAUGCAGAACAACACUUGCAAAUGUAUUUAGCCUUGUAAGGAUUUAGACAGAAUAUUUUUAAGAAUUCAUAAAACACCUAACUGAAGAGAUAUUUUUGAAAAAUCUAUGAGAAAUACCUCUAAAUCCUUUGGUGGUGCAUGUCUGCAUGAUACUAAUUUUCAUUUUUACUGAAAGUAUUUGGUUUCAUUUUCAAACACAAUAGUAACACAGAAAUGUGGUCAACUUUUAAAUUGAAGAACCAGACUGCCAAUUGAAGAUUCUGGAAGAUCCUCUUUAAUGAGCAGCACUGUUUGUUUAUUUCACUCUUCCUAGUUCUACUUUGUAGCAAAUUUAAUUUUCCAAAAAAGAAAACCUUGCUGUAUGCUUCCCCCCUGUCCUUCAUACAGGAAAAUAAAGUAUUGUGUAUAACAGCAAGAGCCCCUACCAACCUGCAGAGAACAAUUCCAUGGCAACUUCAAGACCAAAUGUGUGGUGUCAUUGCAAAAAAACAAACAACAAAACACUCUAGUACUGGAAAUUAGGAUAUGGGUUGCCAAAUUUCUUGAACAAUUAAUUAAAUAAAUCACAUCCAAUAGGGCUCUGAGAUACAGUAUGAGAGAGAAUUCACUAAGUCCUGCUUUCCUGAGCACCACUUCUGUGGUUAUCUUAGGCACUGCUGGAAAUUUUACCCCCACAGCAUACGGCGUAAUGUGCUUCCUCACCCCACUUCUAAAGUUUCAGCCAGUGACAGCAAAGAGAUUUUUGUCUUAUCACAAGGAAAUCUUUCUCAUCUAGGAUGCCACCAAGACUGAUCACAUAUGAGUAGAAUUAAGUAAAACUAAGGAACAAAUUUAAGAAGUUUGCCACAGGUAGCCUCUUCUUCUCUGCAAAAAUUGUGCCUUCUCAUUUCCACCAGCACCUCUCCACUGUGUAACAGUUCUCAUAAAAAUAAUGCAGAGGCACAUAAACUGAAAUGUUUAUGUUGAAUUGAUGGAUUAUUGAGCUUACAGAACAAUAAAAGUGCUUAGUAUGCUUAGUAUGAAAAU